Molecule: long non-coding RNA, 1403 nt
Filed under: Pan troglodytes (chimpanzee)
Lineage: Eukaryota; Metazoa; Chordata; Mammalia; Primates; Hominidae
Description: lncRNA (ENSPTRG00000053521.1)
Source: RNAcentral
UGUCAGAACUGGAAUGCUGGGAGUAACCCGGCUCCGUCUAGCCCCAGAGGAGCUGCCACUGAGGGCUGUCAGGCGUGGAGAGUUUUUUCCAACGACUGGCUUCGUAGGCCCCACUGGAGACCGUUUUGGCAUUUGAGCCCCAGGUCCUGUGCAUCUUACGUCAGCCCCAGUGUUGAGGAUGCCAGGGGCCCUGUCCCUCUGAAGCCCCUUCUGCCUGCCCUGCAGCAGUUGCAGCUCCUGGGCCGGUUCUGCCAGGAGCAGGGGAUCCCGUUCCCACCCAUCUCACCCAGCCCCAAAGAGCUGCUCCAGCCUUGGGAGUGCCACACCUUCUCCGACUCCACCUGCCCCGGAGCCCCCGCGGUGCUGCACUUUCCUCUGGUCAGCGACUCCUUCUGGGAGUACUCGGCCCCUGGGGUCCGGCAGCCACCCGAGGAGGCGGCAGCUGGGGAGGUGAACCUGUCUUCAUCGGACUCUCCCUACUACUACACGAAGGUGACCUACAGCCAGGAGGACGUGGACAAGCUGCUGCACCUGACACAUUACAAUUUCUGCAACAACCAGGAGCAGCUGCUGGAGACUCUGCGCCAGGCAGUGCAGCGGAGGCGGCAGCGCAGGCCCCACUGAUGGCCGGGGCCCCUGCCACCCCUAACUAACUCUCAUUCAUUCCCUGGCUGCUGAGUUGCAGGUGGGAACUGUCAUCACGCAGUGCUUCAGAGCCUCGGGCUCAGGUGGCACUGUCCCAGGGUCCAGGCUGAGGGCUCCCUUGCGCCUCAGCAGUUUGCAGUGGGGUAAGGAGGCCAAGCCCAUUUGUGUAAUCACCCAAAACCCCCCGGCCUGUCCCUGUUUUCCCUUCUGCGCUACCUUGAGUAGUUGGAGCACUUGAUACAUUACAGACUCAUACAAAUGUGAGGCGCUGAGAAGGGCCAUGUCAUUCUAGGCUCUUGGCUGUACAUGGCAAGGGCUGGUACAGAGCUCGCUCUUCAGUGUUCUUCCUCCGAAGAGCACAUUCUCUGCACACAUCUGCGUCUACCUGUGCUCAGAGUCACCCCUUCCAGGCAAGGAGGAGGCCACAUGGGCCUGGGGUAGCCCUGGCCUUGCCCACCUGCUCUGCCGUAACACGUCUCCUCUUCAUCCAGACAGGAAUGCAGGGGGAGGCCAGCCAAUGGCUGUUUCCUGCCACAUGGUAGGACCCAUCUAACCAGAAGGAACUGUCUAUUCCAGAAUCUGGGCCUGGGGAACUGGGUUGAAGCAGCCACGGGAAGGAGCCCUUUUGCCUGUAGCUGAGUCUCAUUCUGGUCCCUUAGAUGUGUCCUCGCUUGUGCCCCUGAAGUUUGGUGUUGCACUGGGGUUCACCUCAGGGAUCAGACCUGUUGGGAAAACGGAAUGAAUUUAGUAGGGUAUGG